UACGGAGGGUGCAAGCGUUAAUCGGAAUUACUGGGCGUAAAGCGCGCGCAGGCGGUUAAUUAAGUCAGAUGUGAAAGCCCCGAGCUUAACUUGGGAAUUGCAUCUGAAACUGGUUGGCUAGAGUCUAGGAGAGGAGGGUAGAAUUCCAUGUGUAGCGGUGAAAUGCGUAGAGAUGUGGAGGAAUACCGGUGGCGAAGGCGGCCCUCUGGACUGAGACUGACGCUGAGGUGCGAAAGCGUGGGGAGCAAACAGG
RNAcentral lists this ribosomal RNA (253 nucleotides) under uncultured bacterium. RNAcentral's name for it is "partial 16S ribosomal RNA". It matches the Rfam family "Bacterial small subunit ribosomal RNA", at positions 524 to 776 of the family's 1533-position model. The record is from RNAcentral.